AUUGAACGCUGGCGGCAUGCUUUACACAUGCAAGUCGAACGGCAGCACGAAAGAGCUUGCUCUUUUGGUGGCGAGUGGCGAACGGGUGAGUAAUGCAUCGGAACGUACCGAGUAAUGGGGGAUAACUGUCCGAAAGGAUAGCUAAUACCGCAUACGCUUUGAGAAGGAAAGUGGGGGCUCUUCGGACCUCACGUUAUUCGAGCGGCCGAUGUCUGAUUAGCUAGUUGGUGGGGUAAAGGCCUACCAAGGCGACGAUCGGUAGCGGGUCUGAGAGGAUGAUCCGCCACACUGGGACUGAGACACGGCCCAGACUCCUACGGGAGGCAGCAGUGGGGAAUUUUGGACAAUGGGCGCAAGCCUGAUCCAGCCAUGCCGCGUGUCUGAAGAAGGCCUUCGGGUUGUAAAGGACUUUUGUUAGGGAAGAAAAGGAUAGUGUUAAUACCAUUAUCUGCUGACGGUACCUAAAGAAUAAGCACCGGCUAACUACGUG
This 490-nucleotide ribosomal RNA is filed under the name uncultured bacterium. RNAcentral describes it as "partial 16S ribosomal RNA". It matches the Rfam family "Bacterial small subunit ribosomal RNA", at positions 30 to 507 of the family's 1533-position model. The record is from RNAcentral.